GCCUAGUUUGCUUGGUGGGUAGAGCAUUUGCCUUUUAAGCACUAGGCCAUGGGUUAGAUUCCCGCCCGGGGCG
Molecule: transfer RNA, 73 nt
Filed under: Diaphorina citri (Asian citrus psyllid)
Lineage: Eukaryota; Metazoa; Arthropoda; Insecta; Hemiptera; Psyllidae
Rfam family: tRNA
About the family: Transfer RNA (tRNA) molecules are approximately 80 nucleotides in length.
Source: Rfam by way of RNAcentral